RNAcentral lists this microRNA precursor (249 nucleotides) under Paramuricea clavata. The record is from RNAcentral. Lineage: Eukaryota; Metazoa; Cnidaria; Anthozoa; Malacalcyonacea; Plexauridae.
GACGUCGAAUAUCGACGUCAUAAACACCAAAGUUGUUCGUGUUUAUGACGUCGAAUAUCGACGUCAUCAACACCAAAGUUGUUCGUGUUUUUGACGUCGAAUAUCGACGUCAUAAACACCAAAGUUGAUGGUGUUUACGACGUCGAAUAUCGACGUCAUAAACACCAAAGUUGUUCGUGUUUAUGACGUCGAAUAUCGACGUCAUAAACACCAAAGUUGUUCGUGUUUAUGACGUCGAAUAUCGACGUC